This 1254-nucleotide ribosomal RNA is filed under the name Salmonella enterica subsp. enterica serovar Liverpool. Its description in RNAcentral is "partial 23S ribosomal RNA". It matches the Rfam family "Bacterial large subunit ribosomal RNA", at positions 583 to 1757 of the family's 2925-position model. The record is from RNAcentral. Lineage: Bacteria; Pseudomonadati; Pseudomonadota; Gammaproteobacteria; Enterobacterales; Enterobacteriaceae.
CUUUGGGGUGUGACUGCGUACCUUUUGUAUAAUGGGUCAGCGACUUAUAUUCUGUAGCAAGGUUAACCGUAUAGGGGAGCCGGAGGGAAACCGAGUCUUAAUUGGGCGUUAAGUUGCAGGGUAUAGACCCGAAACCCGGUGAUCUAGCCAUGGGCAGGUUGAAGGUUGGGUAACACUAACUGGAGGACCGAACCGACUAAUGUUGAAAAAUUAGCGGAUGACCUGUGGCUGGGGGUGAAAGGCCAAUCAAACCGGGAGAUAGCUGGUUCUCCCCGAAAGCUAUUUAGGUAGCGCCUCGUGAAUUCAUCUCCGGGGGUAGAGCACUGUUUCGGCUAGGGGGCCAUCCCGGCUUACCAACCCGAUGCAAACUGCGAAUACCGGAGAAUGUUAUCACGGGAGACACACGGCGGGUGCUAACGUCCGUCGUGAAGAGGGAAACAACCCAGACCGCCAGCUAAGGUCCCAAAGUCAUGGUUAAGUGGGAAACGAUGUGGGAAGGCCCAGACAGCCAGGAUGUUGGCUUAGAAGCAGCCAUCAUUUAAAGAAAGCGUAAUAGCUCACUGGUCGAGUCGGCCUGCGCGGAAGAUGUAACGGGGCUAAACCAUGCACCGAAGCUGCGGCAGCGAACGUAUCACUUAAAGCGAUUCAGCGGGUUACGAUUGACGGAGCGAAGCGACGUCAAAGCGUAUACAAAGUCGAGUCGGUUUAAGGAUACGUUCGUUGGGUAGGGGAGCGUUCUGUAAGCCUGUGAAGGUGGCCUGUGAGGGUUGCUGGAGGUAUCAGAAGUGCGAAUGCUGACAUAAGUAACGAUAAAGCGGGUGAAAAGCCCGCUCGCCGGAAGACCAAGGGUUCCUGUCCAACGUUAAUCGGGGCAGGGUGAGUCGACCCCUAAGGCGAGGCCGAAAGGCGUAGUCGAUGGGAAACGGGUUAAUAUUCCCGUACUUGGUGUUACUGCGAAGGGGGGACGGAGAAGGCUAUGUUGGCCGGGCGACGGUUGUCCCGGUUUAAGCGUGUAGGUGUGUGUUCCAGGUAAAUCCGGUUCACUUUAACACUGAGGCGUGACGACGAGGCACUACGGUGCUGAAGCAACAAAUGCCCUGCUUCCAGGAAAAGCCUCUAAGCAUCAGGUAACAUCAAAUCGUACCCCAAACCGACACAGGUGGUCAGGUAGAGAAUACCAAGGCGCUUGAGAGAACUCGGGUGAAGGAACUAGGCAAAAUGGUGCCGUAACUUCGGGAGAAGGCACGCUGACAC